Molecule: ribosomal RNA, 127 nt
Filed under: uncultured Clostridium sp.
Lineage: Bacteria; Bacillati; Bacillota; Clostridia; Eubacteriales; Clostridiaceae
Description: partial 16S ribosomal RNA
Rfam family: Bacterial small subunit ribosomal RNA
Source: RNAcentral
ACUCCUACGGGAGGCAGCAGUGGGGAAUAUUGCACAAUGGGCGAAAGCCUGAUGCAGCAACGCCGCGUGAGCGAUGAAGGCCUUCGGGUCGUAAAGCUCUGUCCUCAAGGAAGAUAAUGACGGUACU